GAUCUGACCGGGAAGUUAAUGGCGUUGCCGGUUGUUGAGAGCGGCGUAGGAUUGAUGGUCCUGCCGAAGGUCGGCAGGGAUGCGAGGGGCUGAACGGUUUCGACUUCGCGCAUCGAAUCAAGGGAAGCGUGCCGGUGCAGGCAAGAGACCACCGUAAGCGUCGUUGCGACCAAAUAAGCGCCGAUUCACAUCAGCGCGACUACGCUCUCGCUGCCUAAGCGACGGCUAGUCUGUCAGACCGGGAACGCCCUCGGCCCGGACCCUGGCAUCAGCUAGAGGGAUCCACCGAUGAGUCCGGUCGCGGGACUCCUCGGGACAACCACAGCGACUGGGAUCGUCAUCUCGGCUAGUUCGCGUGACCGGGAGAUCCGAGCAGAGGCAUAGCGAACUGCGCACGGAGAAGCCUUGAGGGAAUGCCGUAGGACCCGGGUUCGAUUCCCGGCAGCUCCACCGAAGGGCCAGGUCGGUGGCCCAUUUGCAGAUGCGACGGCCAUCACAGACCAAGGUAUCGUGCCACGGCGUGUUCCACCUUGGCCAUUUGGUCACGGUCCAGAUAGUCGACCGGAUCGCCGUGCACAUAGACGAUGCCGAUCGUCCGGAUCUGAUC
RNAcentral lists this non-coding RNA (607 nucleotides) under Mycobacterium tuberculosis variant bovis. RNAcentral describes it as "10Sa RNA". The stretch from base 86 to 453 matches the Rfam family "transfer-messenger RNA". From Rfam's summary of the family: Bacterial tmRNA, also known as 10Sa RNA or SsrA, is named for its dual tRNA and mRNA-like properties. Its role is to liberate the mRNA from a stalled ribosome. To accomplish this part of the tmRNA is used as a reading frame that ends in a translation stop signal. RNAcentral also lists the same sequence under 9 other names. Lineage: Bacteria; Bacillati; Actinomycetota; Actinomycetes; Mycobacteriales; Mycobacteriaceae. The record is from RNAcentral.